UGGGGAAUUUUCCGCAAUGGGCGCAAGCCUGACGGAGCAACGCCGCGUGCGGGAGGACGGCCUGUGGGUUGUAAACCGCUUUUAUCAGGGAAGAAGUUCUGACGGUACCUGAUGAAUCAGCGCCGGCUAACUCCGUGCCAGCAGCCGCGGUAAGACGGAGGGCGCUAGCGUUGUUCGGAAUCACUGGGCGUAAAGGGCGCGUAGGCGGCUGUUUAAGUCGAGGGUGAAAGCCCGGGGCUCAACCCCGGAACGGCCUUCGAGACUGGGCAGCUUGAGACCGGAAGAGGAGGGUGGAAUACCCAGUGUAGAGGUGAAAUUCGUAGAUAUUGGGUGGAACACCAGUGGCGAAAGCGGCUCUCUGGUCCGGAUCUGACGCUGAGGCGCGAAAGCGUGGGGAGCAAACAGGAUUAGAUACCCGGGUAGUCC
Molecule: ribosomal RNA, 426 nt
Filed under: uncultured prokaryote
Description: bacterial SSU rRNA
Rfam family: Bacterial small subunit ribosomal RNA
Source: RNAcentral